GAUGAACGCUGGCGGCGUGCCUAAUACAUGCAAGUCGAGCGAACAGAUAAGGAGCUUGCUCCUUUGACGUUAGCGGCGGACGGGUGAGUAACACGUGGGUAACCUACCUAUAAGACUGGAAUAACUCCGGGAAACCGGGGCUAAUGCCGGAUAAUAUUUAGAACCGCAUGGUUCUAAAGUGAAAGAUGGUUUUACUAUCACUUAUAGAUGGACCCGCGCCGUAUUAGCUAGUUGGUGGGGUAAUGGCUUACCAAGGCAACGAUACGUAGCCGACCUGAGAGGGUGAUCGGCCACACUGGAACUGAGACACGGUCCAGACUCCUACGGGAGGCAGCAGUAGGGAAUCUUCCGCAAUGGGCGAAAGCCUGACGGAGCAACGCCGCGUGAGUGAUGAAGGUCUUCGGAUCGUAAAACUCUGUUAUUAGGGAAGAACAAAUGUGUAAGUAACUGUGCACGUCUUGACGGUACCUAAUCAGAAAGCCACGGCUAACUACGUGCCAGCAGCCG
RNAcentral lists this ribosomal RNA (507 nucleotides) under uncultured bacterium. RNAcentral's name for it is "bacterial SSU rRNA". It matches the Rfam family "Bacterial small subunit ribosomal RNA", at positions 28 to 517 of the family's 1533-position model. The record is from RNAcentral.